RNAcentral lists this ribosomal RNA (253 nucleotides) under uncultured bacterium. Its description in RNAcentral is "partial 16S ribosomal RNA". It matches the Rfam family "Bacterial small subunit ribosomal RNA", at positions 524 to 776 of the family's 1533-position model. The record is from RNAcentral.
UACGAGUGCCUCGAGCGUUAUCCGGAAUCAUUGGGCGUAAAGGGUGUGCAGGCGGUCUUGUUAGUCUUCUGUUAAAUUUCUCGGCUUAACCGGGAACCUGCAGGGGAAACGGCAAGACUUGAGGAUGCGAGAGGUUAACGGAACUCAUAGUGUAGCGGUGAAAUGCGUUGAUAUUAUGGGGAACACCAAAUGCGAAGGCAGUUAACUGGAGCACUCCUGACGCUGAGACACGAAAGCGUGGGUAGCGAAUGGG